This 305-nucleotide long non-coding RNA is filed under the name Mytilus galloprovincialis (Mediterranean mussel). Lineage: Eukaryota; Metazoa; Mollusca; Bivalvia; Mytilida; Mytilidae. The record is from RNAcentral.
UCAAAAAUAAUUUUAAUUAACAAAGACUAAAACAAUGUCUUAUUCUACAUUUUCCAAAAAAGGUGAAAUGUCAAUUUUGAAAGAAACCCAAGUUACCUGUACAGGUAAAUUUUUAAGAAACAUACAAGUUGAAAACUUCAACCCUGAUUGAUUACAACAGGUAACCUUAUUAGAUAAAACAUCAACCUAUGUUUUAUGACCCCAAUAAAUGGCCAACAUCUCAAGAUUGAAUACCCCAAUAAAUGGCCACCAUUGGAUGUUGACCAUGCAAGAGGGUGGACAUAAUUAAGAGGAUGUCACAGGCU